UCCUGCCGGAGGUCACUGCUGUUGGGAUUCGGCUAAGCCAUGCAAGCGGAGGGCGCGGUCGAAAGAUCGUGGCCCCGCACACUGCUCAGUAACACGUAGUCAACCUACCCUUGGGACGGGGACAACCUCGGGAAACUGAGGCUAAUACCCGAUAGGUGAGGGACGUUGGGAUGCCUCCUCGCCCAAAGCUCCGGCGCCCAAGGAUGGGACUGCGGUCUAUCAGGCUGUUGGUGGUGUAACGGACCACCAAACCUACGACGGGUACGGGCGAUGGGAGUCGGAGCCCGGAGAUGGGAACUGAGACAAGGCCCCAAGCCCUACGGGGCGCAGCAGGCGCGAAAACUCCGCAAUGCGCGCAAGCGUGACGGGGGGAUCCCAAGUGCCGUUGGUCUUUCGAUCGACGGUUUUUAGGAAGUCUAAGAAGCUUCCAGAAUAAGGGCUGGGCAAGACUGGUGCCAGCCGCCGCGGUAACACCAGCAGCCCAAGUGGUGGCCACGAUUAUUGGGCCUAAAGCGCUCGUAGCCGGAUCAGCAAGUCCCUUGUGAAAUCGGGCCGCCUAACGGUUCGGCGUGCAAGGGAUACUGUUGGUCUUGAGGCCGGGAGAGGUCGGAGGUACUCCUGGGGUAGCGGUGAAAUGCUCUAAUCCUAGGGGGACCACCAGUGGCGAAGGCGUCCGACCAGAACGGACCUGACGGUGAGGGGCGAAGGCUAGGGGAGCGAACGGGAUUAGAUACCCCGGUAGUCCUAGCUGUAAAGCAUGCGGGCCAGGUGUCUAGCGCUCCUUGAGGGCACUAGGUGCCGGAGGGAAGCCGUUAAGCCCGCCGCCUGGGAAGUACGGCCGCAAGGCUGAAACUUAAAGAAAUUGGCGGGGGAGCACCACAAGAGGUGGGACCUGCGGUUCAAUUGGAAUCAACGCCGGU
RNAcentral lists this ribosomal RNA (920 nucleotides) under uncultured archaeon. RNAcentral describes it as "bacterial SSU rRNA". It matches the Rfam family "Archaeal small subunit ribosomal RNA", at positions 12 to 922 of the family's 1478-position model. The record is from RNAcentral.